GGUGUGUGCUACGAUCGAACAGGAGAAAGGAAAAAGGGGGUGUGAACCCUAAACCUCAAGAAAUCAUCAAAUUGAAAAGGGAAUCAAGGGCUGAUUGUAUGCAUGAACCAAGGAUGAUGAUCCCUUAAGCAUUUCUAACAUCAACGUAGGAGCCAUGUCAACAUGGACACGAGCAUGGAAGGGCAAUGGGUCAACGGUAAAUACGGAAGCUAUGCAUGAACUCGGACGCACGAGGUAGCGUUAGUUAAUUGAGCAUGGUGAUGAUUGAAGUUUGAUAUGGUUUUGGUUGUAUGAAAUCGGUUAUUUUAGCUAAGUAGACCGAACGGGACAAUAUAAAGUUGUAAUGAUAUGACAGAUUGAUGUAAUGCUACGGUAUUGUAACCGGGUAAUGGGUAGAAUUGCACAUAAGUGCGCCAACCGAGAAUGGGGACUUAGGUUAAUGGUCAAAAGACUUAGCUUUUGACCUUAAAUAAAAGAAUGGUUUAACAAAAUACGAACAGGUCGAAUAAAUGUGCAUAAACUUCAUAAUGCUAAUGAAAUGCGUAAAGAUUAAGGACCCGGGUAAGGGCGUUUAGCCCAUAAUGUAAGGACAAGUCUUACGGACAACUAGAAAUAAUUGUGAGCAAUUUGAUUGAGGAAUGUCCGAGAUACGCAAGUUUUAAUAAUAAAAAUAUGAAUGGGUUGAAUAGUCGAAACGAGUAUGUAGAGCCGAAGGCUUUAAGUUAAGAUUUUUCCUUGUUUGGAUGUUAUAUUACAAGCUCAUAUGUUAGAAAAUCGAUUUACCAACGCAUAGGAAAAAGAAUCAUGUUAAUCGGAUUCGUAGAUCAAAAGUUAUGCAAAUUGUAAGUCGAAAAUACCCUUGGAAUUCAUAGCUGGGAAUUUACAGCAGCAAAUUUGAAGUUUCUGUCGAAAUAGAGCUGUCGCGCCCCGCGAGCGCCAGUCAGCUGGCAAAUUUUGGUUUUCUUGUUUGAUUUUGCAUCCGGACUCGAUGUUUUAAUGAUUUUCGAUGUCCCUUAACUUAUAUUAAAGCCGGUUUGAAACACGAGUGAUGUUAUGAGCCUCCGGAUAAUGAAAGUAUGUAUUUUUCUUCGUGUUAGAGAAGAAAGAUUAUAAGUAAUCGAGACUAGAAAUGAGUGGGCAUGCAAUAUGGUAAGUAUAAAACUUAAAUCACGGAAGUUGCGAUUAUGAUAAGAAAUGCGAGAUUAAGUGAAUAAAAGUAGUAAGCGAGGAAUUAGGAACGUAUACGUUUGUGGAUGCGAGAUGUUAUAAGUAUAUGAAGGAAUGGUUUGGACUGGUUUCAUUAUGUUCUAGCAUUAAUGUUUGCUAAUCGUGUGUUUGAGAUUGGAAUGAAAUGCAGGUACAUGAACACCGGGUUCAUGAAGUAUCGAAGUCGAAUUCGGAACAAGAAAAUACAAAAGGAUAGUUGAAUGAAUUAAAGUUCCUACUGUUAAAUGUUAUUCAAUAUUGGACUAUAUGAGAAUCAUGUCGUAUGAUAUUGUUAAUGACUAAUGGUUAUGAUGUAUGCGAUGUCCACAGGUAUUGCACGGAUUACCGCUACUACUACCGAAGAUAAGCAAGCGUUGAUCGAGUCACGGAGCAAGGGUUGUACGGAAAUAUGUAUUGUCUUGAAGUGUUAAUUUAAUGUGGUUAUUGUAAAUCCCUUUUGUAAAUGUUUAUCAUUUGUAUUUGAGCCUUCAAGUAAGUAAUGUGUCUAAAUAAGAAAGAAAUUUUUGG
RNAcentral lists this long non-coding RNA (1734 nucleotides) under Helianthus annuus (common sunflower). Its description in RNAcentral is "hypothetical non coding rna". The record is from RNAcentral. Lineage: Eukaryota; Viridiplantae; Streptophyta; Magnoliopsida; Asterales; Asteraceae.